Molecule: ribosomal RNA, 1385 nt
Filed under: uncultured bacterium
Lineage: Bacteria
Description: 16S ribosomal RNA
Rfam family: Bacterial small subunit ribosomal RNA
Source: RNAcentral
GAUGAACGCUGGCGGCGUGCCUAAUACAUGCAAGUCGAACGAAACUUCUUUAUCACCGAGUGCUUGCACUCACCGAUAAAGAGUUGAGUGGCGAACGGGUGAGUAACACGUGGGCAACCUGCCCAAAAGAGGGGGAUAACACUUGGAAACAGGUGCUAAUACCGCAUAACCAUAGUUACCGCAUGGUGACUAUGUAAAAGGUGGCUAUGCUACCGCUUUUGGAUGGGCCCGCGGCGCAUUAGCUAGUUGGUGAGGUAAAGGCUUACCAAGGCGAUGAUGCGUAGCCAAACUGAGAGGUUGAUCGGCCACAUUGGGACUGAGACACGGCCCAAACUCCUACGGGAGGCAGCAGUAGGGAAUCUUCCACAAUGGGCGAAAGCCUGAUGGAGCAACGCCGCGUGGGUGAAGAAGGUCUUCGGAUCGUAAAACCCUGUUGUUAGAGAAGAAAGUGCGUGAGAGUAACUGUUCACGUUUCGACGGUAUCUAACCAGAAAGCCACGGCUAACUACGUGCCAGCAGCCGCGGUAAUACGUAGGUGGCAAGCGUUAUCCGGAUUUAUUGGGCGUAAAGGGAACGCAGGCGGUCUUUUAAGUCUGAUGUGAAAGCCUUCGGCUUAACCGGAGUAGUGCAUUGGAAACUGGGAGACUUGAGUGCAGAAGAGGAGGGUGGAACUCCAUGUGUAGCGGUGAAAUGCGUAGAUAUAUGGAAGAACACCAGUGGCGAAAGCGGCUCUCUGGUCUGUAACUGACGCUGAGGUUCGAAAGCGUGGGUAGCAAACAGGAUUAGAUACCCUGGUAGUCCACGCCGUAAACGAUGAAUGCUAAGUGUUGGAGGGUUUCCGCCCUUCAGUGCUGCAGCUAACGCAAUAAGCAUUCCGCCUGGGGAGUACGACCGCAAGGUUGAAACUCAAAGGAAUUGACGGGGGCCCGCACAAGCGGUGGAGCAUGUGGUUUAAUUCGAAGCAACGCGAAGAACCUUACCAGGUCUUGACAUCUUCUGACAAUCCUAGAGAUAGGACUUUCCCUUCGGGGACAGAAUGACAGGUGGUGCAUGGUUGUCGUCAGCUCGUGUCGUGAGAUGUUGGGUUAAGUCCCGCAACGAGCGCAACCCUUAUUGUUAGUUGCCAGCAUUAAGUUGGGCACUCUAGCAAGACUGCCGGUGACAAACCGGAGGAAGGUGGGGAUGACGUCAAAUCAUCAUGCCCCUUAUGACCUGGGCUACACACGUGCUACAAUGGACGGUACAACGAGUCGCAAGACCGCGAGGUUUAGCAAAUCUCUUAAAGCCGUUCUCAGUUCGGAUUGUAGGCUGCAACUCGCCUACAUGAAGUCGGAAUCGCUAGUAAUCGCGGAUCAGCAUGCCGCGGUGAAUACGUUCCCGGGCCU